GUGUUAUACAUGCAAGUCGAGCGCGAGAGUGAGGAGCUUGCUCCUCAUGAUCGAGCGGCGGACGGGUGAGUAACACGUAGGCAACCUACCCUUGAGAUUGGGAUAACUACCGGAAACGGUAGCUAAUACCGGAUACGACUUUUCCACAUAAGUGGAAUUGUUAAAAGGCGGAUUUAUCUGCCGCUCAUGGAUGGGCCUGCGGUGCAUUAGCUAGUUGGUGAGGUAGUGGCUCACCAAGGCGACGAUGCAUAGCCGACCUGAGAGGGUGAUCGGCCACACUGGGACUGAGACACGGCCCAGACUCCUACGGGAGGCAGCAGUAGGGAAUCUUCCGCAAUGGACGCAAGUCUGACGGAGCAACGCCGCGUGAGUGAUGAAGGGUUUCGGCUCGUAAAACUCUGUUGUUAAGGAAGAACACUUGAGGUAGUAACUGGCCUUGAGAUGACGGUACUUAACCAGAAAGCCACGGCUAACUACGUGCCAGCAGCCGCGGUAAUACGUAGGUGGCAAGCGUUAUCCGGAAUUAUUGGGCGUAAAGCGCGCGUAGGCGGUAAAAUAAGUCUGAUGUGAAAGCCCCCGGCUCAACCGGGGAGGGUCAUUGGAAACUGUUUUACUUGAGUACAGAAGAGGAGAGUGGAAUUCCAUGUGUAGCGGUGAAAUGCGCAGAGAUAUGGAGGAACACCAGUGGCGAAGGCGGCUCUCUGGUCUGUAACUGACGCUGAGGUGCGAAAGCGUGGGGAUCAAACAGGAUUAGAUACCCUGGUAGUCCACGCCGUAAACGAUGAGUGCUAGUGUUUGGGGGGGGUUUCCGCCCCUCAGUGCUGCAGCUAACGCAUUAAGCACUCCGCCUGGGGGAGUACGGCCGCAAGGCUGAAACUCAAGGGAAUUGACGGGGACCGCACAAGCGGUGGAACCAUGUGGUUUAAUUCGAAGCAACGCGAAGAACCUUACCAAAUCUUGACAUCCUCUGACAGCCCUAGAGAGAUAGGGUUUCCCUUCGGGGCAGAGUGACAGGUGGGUGCAUGGUUGUCGUCAGCUCGGUCCGGGAAUGGUUGGGUUAAGUCCCGCAACGAGCGCAACCCUUAAGUUUAGUUGCCAUCAUUAAGUUGGGCACUCUAGACGGACUGCCGUGACAACCCGGAGGAAAGGGGGGGGAGAACGUCAAAUAUCUGGCCCCUUUUGAUUUGGGCAACCCCUGGCUCAAAGGGGGAGGUUUAAAGGGGGCGACGCCGCGGGGCAACGAAUCCCAAAAAA
This 1254-nucleotide ribosomal RNA is filed under the name Jeotgalicoccus nanhaiensis. RNAcentral's name for it is "bacterial SSU rRNA". It matches the Rfam family "Bacterial small subunit ribosomal RNA", at positions 46 to 1281 of the family's 1533-position model. Lineage: Bacteria; Bacillati; Bacillota; Bacilli; Caryophanales; Staphylococcaceae. The record is from RNAcentral.